AUGAACGCUGGCGGCGUGCCUAAUACAUGCAAGUCGAGCGAACAGAUGAGGAGCUUGCUCCUCUGACGUUAGCGGCGGACGGGUGAGUAACACGUGGAUAACCUACCUAUAAGACUGGGAUAACUUCGGGAAACCGGAGCUAAUACCGGAUAAUAUAUUGAACCGCAUGGUUCAAUAGUGAAAGACGGUUUUGCUGUCACUUAUAGAUGGAUCCGCGCCGCAUUAGCUAGUUGGUAAGGUAACGGCUUACCAAGGCAACGAUGCGUAGCCGACCUGAGAGGGUGAUCGGCCACACUAGAACUGAGACACGGUCCAGACUCCUACGGGAGGCAGCAGUAGGGAAUCUUCCGCAAUGGGCGAAAGCCUGACGGAGCAACGCCGCGUGAGUGAUGAAGGUCUUAGGAUCGUAAAACUCUGUUAUUAGGGAAGAACAAAUGUGUAAGUAACUAUGCACGUCUUGACGGUACCUAAUCAGAAAGCCACGGCUAACUACGUG
Molecule: ribosomal RNA, 496 nt
Filed under: uncultured bacterium
Lineage: Bacteria
Description: partial 16S ribosomal RNA
Rfam family: Bacterial small subunit ribosomal RNA
Source: RNAcentral